Triticum aestivum (bread wheat) is the source of this 2725-nucleotide long non-coding RNA. RefSeq lists it as uncharacterized. The transcript is spliced from 3 exons. NCBI's taxonomy places the organism in Eukaryota, Viridiplantae, Streptophyta, Magnoliopsida, Poales, Poaceae. The record is from RefSeq and is a predicted model, not a curated record.
UUCGACCUCGCCUCUCGCUCCCACGUUCGGUUUUCCCAUCCAAGCAGGGGCUUCUCCCCACGAUCGAUCCCAUGCCAUCGGAAGUCGACGCACGCACGUCCAUCUCUUGCACUCUCGUGCCCCUUCCUAGGUCGCAGCCACCAAUCUCCCCACCACUCCGGUUCUCCUUUCCACGUUGCAAUGGCUGAUCUCAUCUCCCAAUCUCGUCGUCCUCCCCGUGCCGCCGCAACGAUCUGCUGCCCCACUCUUGUUGUACUUGGUACGGUGCCGAGCUCUCCGCAGUCUGCACCAACGCACCGACGCCGGGGAAACCGGAAACCACCACCACGGCACUACCUCACUGGCGCCGCCGCUCCUCCGCUGGUUGUAGCGCAGCAACAGCGCAACGGCACGGGUGGCUUAUACUGGUGCUGGGUGCGCCGGUGUUGUCCCCUGCGCUACGCGUGUGCCGACCUGGACGAAAGGCAACGGAUCCGGGAAGCGCAACUUACACCUACACCGACCGACCGACGCGGCCUUAUCGACUGAACGACGACGGCUCAGCGACAGCACGGUCUCCUUCGACCAGGUGCUAGGACGAAAUCUCUCUGUCUUCUGCUUCUAGGUGUUUUGGUUUGCUUGCUGGAGAGGCCGAGACAAAGGCAGCUUGAGUUCCUGCGUGUGUCGUGAGCACACGAGGAUCCACCUCCUAUUUCCGAUCCUAUGUCAUGAUCACUGAGAUGUGAGGAAUCGUCGAGGGCACCAACAAAUUAAGGAAACACCAAUAUCAAAUUUGUUAACCAGAUCGACUAGCUAGAUAUCAAGAUGGAAAUGGAAUGAAGGAAUCGGGGCACUACUGUCUUGAUGUAAUAUUGUAUGUUCGUUUAUUUACUGGAAGUUUAGUUUUUUCUCUCCUCUGAGGAUAUAUAGUUUCACUUUUCCUCUUUCAUUGUUGAUCACAUAUAUUUUCAGACUAUGUUCACACAUGGAUUGAAGAGACAUGGUGGCUCUGACAAACAUGGGAGCUGAAUACACUUAGGCCAUGUCAAGCGCACGCGCCAACUUUAGCUUCCGGGUUGAUUUGUCACUUUUCCUGGCUGUGCCUAGGAUUUUUGUAUGCAUCGGUGCCUAAUCAGUAGUCGGGUGCCUGAACUAUAUUCUACAGUGAGCGAUGUUUAUUUUCCAGCGUGCAAAUACCUGCAACUUUGGAGUCAGGGACGCCCAGACAUGUAAGCGCCUGCAACCUGGUAUCCCGACGCGGCUGCGCUCUAUCAUGGGUGUGGACAUCCGUUUCGUCGCCUCCGACUGCCGUGAGUUCCUUACUUUCCUCCUCCACGUUUGAGAUGAGUCUCUUACUUUACUCCACUGUAUUUCUUCAUCUAAUAUAAGGAGGCAUGGGAAGUCGCCCAGUUUGUGAGCGGAAAUGCGUUCAGCAGGAGGAGCAGCUGGGACAUGGGGUUACACUUGCGUAACCUGCCAACUGUUAUUUCUAAACUAUCAAAGUAACAGAAUCAUCUGCAUUGCCCUUCAUUUUCAUUUUUUUAAACAGGUGUGUAUGCUAUUGCUGAAUCCAUGAAUAUAUAGCAUCCAAUAUACUUGAGUUGAAUACUCCAACGGCAUUACAUAUUUUCUCGACAUGUUUCUAAAGGGUAAUUAGCAGUUGUCAAUUCUACAGAUACAACAGAAUUGUAGUAGGUGUUGGAAAGAUCAUACGGUGGCCGUAACUGACGAAGGGAAGUCCUUCGCAUUUGGUGACAGCAGCCACGGCCAAUUGGGGACGGGUUCACUAAGUAGCGGUCGACUCCCUUGCCUCUUCCUUUAUAUUUAUGGUUGAUAGAUGACACUACUAGAAGUGCAGCAAAUACAAAUUAUAUUGCCACCCAUUCUUAUAAUAUACCUGUUUGGGUGGUAACGAAACAAAAAAAAUUAUGCCAUGAGCAUUUGUAACUUAUAUUGUCCAGGACGAUGGGGUGUAGUUCUAUUUAUUGGAAUUGGACCACAUAGGAAGAUCAUUUUCCUCUGCUGGGUUCUAACACUGCUGUUAUUUUUGUGCUGUCCCUGACUAUGUGUUGUUCUGUAUUUGGUGCAGGAACUAAGGUGUUGCCAGUCCCUCUCCUUUGUUACUAAAGCUACUAAUGUUGUUUGCGGUGCUGACUUUACUCUCUGGCUGGUAAUCAUUUUUUAUUUGAUGCCCAUAUCUUAACCAUUUUGUAUUUGCAAGAUCACUCCUUAAUGCAAAGAGGGCAGAGAGAUGAUUUUAAGGAUACUUUUGUCAAAGGAGAAUGUUGACAAAAACAUUGAACACGAGGAGCUUGCAACCAUGAUGGAGGAUACAUCGGCGGUGAGAAGAAUCAUCUUUGCAUGGUUCUCUUACCACCCUGCCCCUGAGCUCCUGAAGAAAGAUAGCUGAGAGAGAUGAAAGAAGUGAACACAUAGGAUCCUACGCCAAAGGAUGAGGAGGAAGUGGCGAAAGAGGGUGCAUGGAGGAGGACAGGUAUAUGGGGGAAGCUGAUCUGAUGGCUGCAAAGAUUGAAGGAGAAGGCUAGCACAGGACACAUUUUGGAGCGUCUAGACAGACACAUCGCGAGUCAAACCUUUGGGGAUUUAAGUGAGGGUGGUUCUGUCUUUUCCUCCCUUCAAUGACUAAAGAUAGAUGAUUAGGGAAAUUUUGUCGAUUACCAUGGAUUAUGGCCCAUUUUGAAUAGCGUAAAACAAACGUGAUAUCUUGAGGCUCUCAUACUUUCAA